GACGAACGCUGGCGGCGUGCUUAACACAUGCAAGUCGAACGGAAAGGCCCUGCUUUUGUGGGGUGCUCGAGUGGCGAACGGGUGAGUAACACGUGAGUAACCUGCCCUUGACUUUGGGAUAACUUCAGGAAACUGGGGCUAAUACCGGAUAGGAGCUCCUGCUGCAUGGUGGGGGUUGGAAAGUUUCGGCGGUUGGGGAUGGACUCGCGGCUUAUCAGCUUGUUGGUGGGGUAGUGGCUUACCAAGGCUUUGACGGGUAGCCGGCCUGAGAGGGUGACCGGCCAAAUUGGGACUGAGAUACGGCCCAGACUCCUACGGGAGGCAGCAGUGGGGAAGAUUGCACAAUGGGCGGAAGCCUGAUGCAGCACCGCCGCGUGCGGGAUGACGGCCUUCGGGUUGUAAACCGCUUUCGCCUGUGACGAAGCGUGAGUGACGGUAAUGGGUAAAGAAGCACCGGCUAACUACGUG
This 468-nucleotide ribosomal RNA is filed under the name uncultured bacterium. Its description in RNAcentral is "partial 16S ribosomal RNA". It matches the Rfam family "Bacterial small subunit ribosomal RNA", at positions 28 to 507 of the family's 1533-position model. The record is from RNAcentral.